This 1020-nucleotide ribosomal RNA is filed under the name uncultured bacterium. RNAcentral describes it as "bacterial SSU rRNA". It matches the Rfam family "Bacterial small subunit ribosomal RNA", at positions 473 to 1504 of the family's 1533-position model. The record is from RNAcentral.
UGUAACCCGAAUAAGAAGGUCCGGCUAACUUCGUGCCAGCAGCCGCGGUAAUACGAAGGGACCUAGCGUAGUUCGGAAUUACUGGGCUUAAAGAGUUCGUAGGUGGUUGAAAAAGUUAGUGGUGAAAUCCCAGAGCUUAACUCUGGAACUGCCAUUAAAACUUUUCAGCUAGAGUAUGAUAGAGGAAAGCAGAAUUUCUAGUGUAGAGGUGAAAUUCGUAGAUAUUAGAAAGAAUACCAAUUGCGAAGGCAGCUUUCUGGAUCAUUACUGACACUGAGGAACGAAAGCAUGGGUAGCGAAGAGGAUUAGAUACCCUCGUAGUCCAUGCCGUAAACGAUGUGUGUUAGACGUUGGAAAUUUAUUUUCAGUGUCGCAGGGAAACCGAUAAACACACCGCCUGGGGAGUACGACCGCAAGGUUAAAACUCAAAUGAAUUGACGGGGACCCGCACAAGUAGUGGAGCAUGUGGUUUAAUUCGAAGAUACGCGCAGAACCUUACCAACACUUGACAUGUUCGUCGCGACUCUAAGAGAUUAGAGUUUUCGGUUCGGCCGGACGAAACACAGGUGCUGCAUGGCUGUCGUCAGCUCGUGUCGUGAGAUGUUGGGUUAAGUCCCGCAACGAGCGCAACCCUCACUUUUAGUUGCCAUCAUUAAGUUGGGCACUCUGAAAGAACUGCCAGUGAUAAGCUGGAGGAAGGUGGGGAUGACGUCAAGUCCUCAUGGCCCUUACGUGUUGGGCUACACACGUGCUACAAUGGUAUCUACAACAGGAAGCAAGACUGCGAAGUUAAGCAAAUCCCUAAAAGAUACCUCAGUUCGGAUUGCACUCUGCAACUCGAGUGCAUGAAGCUGGAAUUACUAGUAAUCGUGGAUCAGCGUGCCACGGUGAAUGCGUUCCCGGGUCUUGUACACACCGCCCGUCACACCAUGGGAGUUGGUUCUACCUUAAGGCAAGGUUUCAAACCCUUGACCACGGUAUAGUCAGCGACUGGGGUGAAGUCGUAACAAGGUAGCCGUA